CCCUGCCCAGCGCCCCAGCAUUCACGCGUGGGGAGGACACGUGUGGCCUCCCCAGGAAGCGGGAGCCUGCGAGCAGCUGGGAACCCCCUCGCGGGCACUCGCAAUUUUGUUUCCCGAAAGGAAGCCUUAACCCCGUGCUGGCAACAUUUCUGUAACAGAGUCAGACCCGCGCCUCUCGACUCCUUCCCACUGGGCCCAAGCAAGCGGGACGCCUUAGCGUCCCCUCCGGAAAAAGAGGAAUGGUCACUGUAGCCCCACGGGGAGGGAGCUCACCCUGUUCGGUUGUUUGGCCACGAGGAUGCUUAUCCGUCACACUGACCAUGGCACCGUGCAAGGGACUGGCUGGAACCCCGCAAGCCCGGCCCCUCGCGCUGUGGUUCAGGCUCCCGCCCGCCCGGCCAGUGCGCGCUGCCUUGGGAGGGCCUGGGAGCCUUUGCUGUUUUCUCACUACUGUCCUCCUCCUCCUGGUUUCAUCCCUUCUGGAUGGACGCGCUUGUUUUACCUCGCCACAGGCCUCUGUUUAUUUUAAUUUCUGCGGUUACACCAUGACUGAAAUUAUUUCAACACUGUCAGUUUGCAGAUGUUUUUAGCCUGGAGUGAGCACAAGGUGACCGGCCCUGGGGUAGCCGUCCUGGGCCGUGGAGCGGUCUUGAAGGCCAGAAGCCAACGAGGCUGGUGUCGUGGGAAGGUGACAAAGCCUGGGUGACACAGCAGUGUCCGAGCUGCCCUGGUAACUUCUAAUGUUGGCCAAAUCCAGAGGACACUUCUCAGUCUUUAUCUCACUGGUUUUGAGGCAUUUGACAUUGCUGACCCUCCCUUCUUGGAUCCUCGGACACCAAGGACACCAAAUGAGUAGGCCUGGGGAGGCCUCAGGUAUUUCUGCUUCCUCUGCUCCUUUCUUACCUGCCUUCAGCACGUGACACCAAACAGUCCGGAAAAUAAAAAUUAAGACUAGUCAGGAGGAACACAGGCUCGGAUAAUUGAAGUAAUUUGGAAAUCGGAAUAAGAGUUCA
Long non-coding RNA from Suricata suricatta (meerkat), 1013 nucleotides. RefSeq lists it as uncharacterized. The record is from RefSeq and is a predicted model, not a curated record. The transcript is spliced from 3 exons. Lineage: Eukaryota; Metazoa; Chordata; Mammalia; Carnivora; Herpestidae.